Molecule: ribosomal RNA, 450 nt
Filed under: uncultured bacterium
Lineage: Bacteria
Description: partial 16S ribosomal RNA
Rfam family: Bacterial small subunit ribosomal RNA
Source: RNAcentral
GUGGGGAAUAUUGGACAAUGGGCGAAAGCCUGAUCCAGCCAUGCCGCGUGUGUGAAGAAGGUCUUCGGAUUGUAAAGCACUUUAAGUUGGGAGGAAGGGCAGUAAGUUAAUACCUUGCUGUUUUGACGUUACCGACAGAAUAAGCACCGGCUAACUUCGUGCCAGCAGCCGCGGUAAUACGAAGGGUGCAAGCGUUAAUCGGAAUUACUGGGCGUAAAGCGCGCGUAGGUGGUUUUGUAAGUUGGAGGUGAAAUCCCCGGGCUCAACCUGGGAACUGCCUCCAAAACUGCAUGACUAGAGUACGGUAGAGGGUAGUGGAAUUUCCUGUGUAGCGGUGAAAUGCGUAGAUAUAGGAAGGAACACCAGUGGUGAAGGCGACUACCUGGACUGAUACUGACACUGAGGUGCGAAAGCGUGGGGAGCAAACAGGAUUAGAUACCCCAGUAGUCC